Gasterosteus aculeatus aculeatus (three-spined stickleback) is the source of this 753-nucleotide RNA transcript. It is a transcript of the gene named glia maturation factor, gamma, with no coding region annotated. NCBI's taxonomy places the organism in Eukaryota, Metazoa, Chordata, Actinopteri, Perciformes, Gasterosteidae. The record is from RefSeq and is a predicted model, not a curated record.
ACAGGAAGCAGCGGAGCGCUGCGUGCCGUGGGCGAGGCCCCCCCCGCGGCAUCAGGAGGAGCCUGAGUCCGCCUGUCAGUUCGUCUUGCCUGUUUCCACAAGCCCCGCUUGCCUUAAAGACCGGAAAGGAAAGAGAGCCGAGAGGAAUCCGUCGAGAAUGUCAAACGCGCUGGUUGUGUGUGAAGUGGAUGAAAGUCUGAAAGCUAAACUGAAAAAGUUUAGAUUUCGAAAAGAAACCACCAAUGCUGCCAUAAUAAUGAAAAUAGACAUGGAGAAACAGCUUGUUAUCGUCGAAGAGGAAUAUGAGGACAUCUCAAUGGAUGAACUGAGAGAAGAACUCCCAGAGCGGCAACCCAGAUUCAUUGUCUACAGCUACAAAUAUGUCCAUUCCGAUGGAAGGGUGUCUUACCCUCUUUGUUUCAUAUUCUCUAGUCCAAUGGGAUGUAAGCCAGAGCAACAGAUGAUGUAUGCAGGGAGCAAGACUGGACUGGUGCACGCUGCGGACCUCACAAAGGUCUUUGAAACAAGAAAUACGGACGACUUGACAGAAGAAUGGCUGAGGAACCAGUUGGGAUUUUUUGGCUGAAUAUACAGUACUAUCAGUCUGUCUUAUGGUGAAACAUGGCCGUUGACAGUAAAUAUCAAUCGCUGCUCAUGGUUCUCCAGCUGAGCUUUACGAGCAUCCUAAGAAUCACAGUGACAGAGACUCAGCCGUGAGUACACUACGACUGUUUAAUAAACUUUGAGACAAUA